RNAcentral lists this ribosomal RNA (70 nucleotides) under Oleiphilus sp. HI0123. Its description in RNAcentral is "partial 16S ribosomal RNA". It matches the Rfam family "Bacterial small subunit ribosomal RNA", at positions 1 to 65 of the family's 1533-position model. Lineage: Bacteria; Pseudomonadati; Pseudomonadota; Gammaproteobacteria; Oceanospirillales; Oleiphilaceae. The record is from RNAcentral.
AGAUUGAACUGAAGAGUUUGAUCAUGGCUCAGAUUGAACGCUGGCGGCAGGCUUAACACAUGCAAGUCGA